CAAGCUGUCGCCCCAGGAGUGGCUGGAGGAACAGGAGAGGAAGCGCCUGGCUCUCAAAAGCGCCAAGGAGGCGGUCGAGGCCUUCAAGGAGAGCGUGCGGUUCCCCCAGCUCGGGGACAAAGAGAGUCAGGGCCCGAAGAAGCCCGCCAAGCUCCUGCAGCUGAUGCGGCUGCGGCAGUUCCCGUCCAGCUCUGCCGGCCACCAGCAGGGCAGCCAGCCCAGCGUGCCUGGCGGGCUGGACCCCAAGAGGUGCAGCUCUGCGCUCCCGGUGCAGGAGGACCCGGACAGCGACGGGGA
RNAcentral lists this long non-coding RNA (297 nucleotides) under Catagonus wagneri (Chacoan peccary). RNAcentral's name for it is "lncRNA (ENSCWAG00000007771.1)". Lineage: Eukaryota; Metazoa; Chordata; Mammalia; Artiodactyla; Tayassuidae. The record is from RNAcentral.